UCUUGAUUUAAAUGGUGGGACGGUU
RNAcentral lists this non-coding RNA (25 nucleotides) under Rattus norvegicus (Norway rat). The record is from RNAcentral. Lineage: Eukaryota; Metazoa; Chordata; Mammalia; Rodentia; Muridae.